This 253-nucleotide ribosomal RNA is filed under the name uncultured bacterium. RNAcentral describes it as "partial 16S ribosomal RNA". It matches the Rfam family "Bacterial small subunit ribosomal RNA", at positions 524 to 776 of the family's 1533-position model. The record is from RNAcentral.
UACGUAGGGUGCUAGCGUUGUCCGGAUUUAUUGGGCGUAAAGGGCUCGUAGGCGGCUUGUCGCGUCGGGAGUGAAAGCCCGCUGCUUAACGGCGGGUUGGCUUCCGGUACGGGCUGGCUGGAGUGCGGCAGGGGAGACUGGAAUUCCUGGUGUAGCGGUGGAAUGCGCAGAUAUCAGGAGGAACACCGGUGGCGAAGGCGGGUCUCUGGGCCGUUACUGACGCUGAGGAGCGAAAGCCAGGGGAGCAAACGGG